UUCCUCCCAAUCUCUUUUUUCUCCCCCUUCUUCUCUUUCUCCCCCCUCCUCUUCCCUCCUCUUCCUCCCUCCCUCCCUCCUCCUCCUCAUCCUCCUCUUCCUCUUCAUCCUCUUCUCCUUCCUCCCUCUCCUCCUCCUCCUUUUCCAGCCCUACCUACCUUCCCUUUCUUCUUCAUUUAUUCAAAGUAGCUUUGAACAGCACUACUCGGUUUAGUUGUGUAUAAAAGGAAAAUGCAGGUCCAAGCAGCUUGGGGAAGAUUGCUUUUUGCUCUCUGGAGGCAGAUGAUGACAGUUCAAGAUCAUUCCUUUUGCUCCAUGUCACAGGAAGGGGGACAUGCCGAAUCUACCAGUUUGCAGCCACCUACACAGGAUCCACCUUCACUUCUAAGGAAAUGUUUGGGAAGCUACCUACCAACCACUUCUGGCAUCUCAUGGGCUAGAGGACUCUUAAAUGGCACUCUUAUUUGUUUAAUAAAGGAGGUUGUGACGUGUAGUUUUAAAUCCCUUCCACACAACAAUUGCUACUCUCUGACCAAAAAAGAAGGGAGACAGGAUACGGCUAGGUGUCUAGUAGACUUUACCACUUUGAAAAGCCUUAAUAUAAAUCAGGUAGAUACAUCUUUUUAACUUAUUCUUGUAAAGACAAAAACAAAACUUUAUUUUUAUUUGUGUGUAUGCUUGUGUGUGUGUGCCUGUGUGUAUACCACAUGUCGCUGGUGCCGGAGAACACCAGAAGAGGGGACCUGAUCUCCUGGAGCUAAAGCUAUCCAUGGUUCUGAGCUGCCUGAUGUGGGUGCUGGGAACAGAACUCUGGUCUUCUGCAAGAGCAACAAGCCUCCUCUUAACUACGAAUCUCCUCCCCAUCCCCCCAAAUACAUUUAAUUAUUCAUUUUAGCAGCUUUAUUUCGUAACUACUUAUCACAGCAUAAAACAAGGAUUUUAUAUAUAUUACAUGCAAUCGAGGAUAAGAGUUGAGGGGAGAUGCGUGUGCUCCUUCUGGGUGUCUGUGCUUUUGAAGAAUGUAAGCAGUGCACAAGGGACCGAGGCGUGCCUGUCUGCCAGGAGCUGUCUUCUUCCC
RNAcentral lists this long non-coding RNA (1078 nucleotides) under Mus musculus (house mouse). Its description in RNAcentral is "long non-coding RNA chr2:170322900-170323978". Lineage: Eukaryota; Metazoa; Chordata; Mammalia; Rodentia; Muridae. The record is from RNAcentral.